This 460-nucleotide ribosomal RNA is filed under the name uncultured bacterium. RNAcentral describes it as "partial 16S ribosomal RNA". It matches the Rfam family "Bacterial small subunit ribosomal RNA", at positions 338 to 795 of the family's 1533-position model. The record is from RNAcentral.
CCUACGGGAGGCAGCAGUGAGGAAUAUUGGUCAAUGGACGAGAGUCUGAACCAGCCAAGUAGCGUGAAGGAUGACUGCCCUAUGGGUUGUAAACUUCUUUUAUAUGGGAAUAAAAUGUUCCACGUGUGGGAUUUUGUAUGUACCAUAUGAAUAAGGAUCGGCUAACUCCGUGCCAGCAGCCGCGGUAAUACGGAGGAUCCGAGCGUUAUCCGGAUUUAUUGGGUUUAAAGGGAGCGUAGGUGGAUUGUUAAGUCAGUUGUGAAAGUUUGCGGCUCAACCGUAAAAUUGCAGUUGAAACUGGCAGUCUUGAGUACAGUAGAGGUGGGCGGAAUUCGUGGUGUAGCGGUGAAAUGCUUAGAUAUCACGAAGAACUCCGAUUGCGAAGGCAGUUCACUGGACUGCAACUGACACUGAGGCUCGAAAGUGUGGGUAUCAAACAGGAUUAGAUAUCCCAGUAGUC